RNAcentral lists this ribosomal RNA (307 nucleotides) under uncultured bacterium. RNAcentral's name for it is "partial 16S ribosomal RNA". It matches the Rfam family "Bacterial small subunit ribosomal RNA", at positions 506 to 807 of the family's 1533-position model. The record is from RNAcentral.
AGACAGCAGUAGCCGCGGGAAUACGGAGGGUGCAAGCGUUAAUCGGAAUUACUGGGCGUAAAGCGCACGCAGGCGGUCUGACAAGUCAGAUGUGAAAUCCCCGGGCUUAACCUGGGAACUGCAUUUGAAACUGUCAGGCUGGAGUCUUGUAGAGGGGGGUGGAAUUCCAGGUGUAGCGGUGAAAUGCGUAGAGAUCUGGAGGAAUACCGGUGGCGAAGGCGGCCCCCUGGACAAAGACUGACGCUCAGGUGCGAAAGCGUGGGGAGCAAACAGGAUUAGAGACCCGCGUAGUCCCUGUCUCUUAUAC